AAUGGGGGCAACCCUGAUCCAGCCAUGCCGCGUGAGUGAAGAAGGCCUUAGGGUUGUAAAGCUCUUUCACCCGUGACGAUGAUGACGGUAGCGGGAGAAGAAGCCCCGGCUAAUUCCGUGCCAGCAGCCGCGGUAAUACGGAAGGGGCUAGCGUUGUUCGGAAUUACUGGGCGUAAAGCGCGCGUAGGCGGCCAUGCAAGUGAGGCGUGAAAGGCCUGGGCUCAACCUGGGAACUGCGCUUCAGACUGCACGGCUCGAGUCCGGGAGAGGGUGGUGGAAUUCCACGUGUAGCAGUGAAAUGCGUAGAGAUGUGGAGGGACACCAAUGGCGAAGGCAGCCCCCUGGGUCGAUACUGACGCUCAUGCACGAAAGCGUAGGUAGCAAA
Molecule: ribosomal RNA, 385 nt
Filed under: uncultured bacterium
Lineage: Bacteria
Description: bacterial SSU rRNA
Rfam family: Bacterial small subunit ribosomal RNA
Source: RNAcentral